UUAAUGAGAGUUUGAUCCUGGCUCAGGACGAACGCUGGCGGCGUGCCUAAUACAUGCAAGUAGAACGCUGAUGUUUGGUGUUUACACUAGACUGAUGAGUUGCGAACGGGUGAGUAACGCGUAGGUAACCUGCCUCAUAGCGGGGGAUAACUAUUGGAAACGAUAGCUAAUACCGCAUAAGAGUGAUUAACACAUGUUAGUUAUUUAAAAGGAGCAAUUGCUUCACUGUGAGAUGGACCUGCGUUGUAUUAGCUAG
RNAcentral lists this ribosomal RNA (256 nucleotides) under Streptococcus agalactiae ZQ0910. Its description in RNAcentral is "partial 16S ribosomal RNA". It matches the Rfam family "Bacterial small subunit ribosomal RNA", at positions 1 to 248 of the family's 1533-position model. Lineage: Bacteria; Bacillati; Bacillota; Bacilli; Lactobacillales; Streptococcaceae. The record is from RNAcentral.